CGCGGCCUAUCAGCUUGUUGGUGAGGUAAAGGCUCACCAAGGCGACGACGGGUAGCCGGCCUGAGAGGGUGACCGGCCACACUGGGACUGAGACACGGCCCAGACUCCUACGGGAGGCAGCAGUGGGGAAUAUUGGGCAAUGGAGGAAACUCUGACCCAGCGACGCCGCGUGAGGGAUGAAGGCCUUCGGGUUGUAAACCUCUUUCAGCAGGGAAUAAGCGAAAGUGAAGGUACCUGCAGAAGAAGCACCGGCUAACUAUGUGCCAGCAGCCGCGGUAAUACAUAGGGUGCAAGCGUUGUCCGGAAUUAUUGGGCGUAAAGAGCUCGUAGGUGGUCGAUCACGUCGGAUGUGAAAAUCUGAGGCUUAACCUCAGACCUGCAUUCGAUACGGGUUGACUAGAGUGUGGUAGGGGAGACUGGAAUUCCUGGUGUAGCGGUGGAAUGCGCAGAUAUCAGGAGGAACACCGAUGGCGAAGGCAGGUCUCUGGGCCAUUACUGACGCUGAGGAGCGAAAGCGUGGGGAGCGAACAGGAUUAGAUACCCUGGUAGUCCACGCCGUAAACGGUGGGCGCUAGUUGUGGGAACCUUCCACGGUUUCUGCGACGCAGCUAACGCAUUAAGCGCCCCGCCUGGGGAGUACGG
RNAcentral lists this ribosomal RNA (642 nucleotides) under uncultured Actinomycetes bacterium. RNAcentral's name for it is "bacterial SSU rRNA". It matches the Rfam family "Bacterial small subunit ribosomal RNA", at positions 232 to 885 of the family's 1533-position model. Lineage: Bacteria; Bacillati; Actinomycetota; Actinomycetes. The record is from RNAcentral.